GAAGCGCGCCAGGCGAUCGCGCCCCGUCCGGGGUGAGGAAAGUCCGGGCUUUACAGGGCAAGGGUGCAGGAUAACGUCCUGUCGAGGAAACUCGAAGGAAAGUGCCACAGAAACAUACCGCUCGUCCCUUCGGGCGACGAGUAAGGGUGAAAUCGGGAGGUAAGAGCUCCCGGAGCGUCGCGGUGACGCGCGCUCGGGUAAACCCCACCUGAAGCAAGACCGCUCGAUACGCCUCGCAAGAGGGGGACUGCCCGUCCCUGCGAGCUAUGUCGCACCGAGGUGCGCGGUAACGCGCACCCCAGAGAGAUGAUCGCCCACCGCGCGGGAAACCGCCGGGGACAGAAUCCGGCUUACAGGCGCGCUUCGCAA
The sequence is an RNase P RNA, 369 nucleotides long. It matches the Rfam family "Bacterial RNase P class A". From Rfam's summary of the family: Ribonuclease P (RNase P) is a ubiquitous endoribonuclease, found in archaea, bacteria and eukarya as well as chloroplasts and mitochondria. Its best characterised activity is the generation of mature 5'-ends of tRNAs by cleaving the 5'-leader elements of precursor-tRNAs.